GAUGAACGCUGGCGGCGUGCCUAAUACAUGCAAGUCGAGCGAACGGACGAGAAGCUUGCUUCUCUGAUGUUGCGGCGGACGGGUGAGUAACACGUGGAUAACCUACCUAUAAGACUGGGAUAACUUCGGGAAACCGGAGCUAAUACCGGAUAAUAUUUUGAACCGCAUGGUUCAAAAGUGAAAGACGGUCUUGCUGUCACUUAUAGAUGGAUCCGCGCUGCAUUAGCUAGUUGGUAAGGUAACGGCUUACCAAGGCAACGAUGCAUAGCCGACCUGAGAGGGUGAUCGGCCACACUGGAACUGGGACACGGUCCAGACUCCUACGGGAGGCAGCAGUAGGGAAUCUUCCGCAAUGGGCGAAAGCCUGACGGAGCAACGCCGCGUGAGUGAUGAAGGUCUUCGGAUCGUAAAACUCUGUUAUUAGGGAAGAACAUAUGUGUAAGUAACUGUGCACAUCUUGACGGUACCUAAUCAGAAAGCCACGGCUAACUACGUG
This 496-nucleotide ribosomal RNA is filed under the name uncultured bacterium. RNAcentral's name for it is "partial 16S ribosomal RNA". It matches the Rfam family "Bacterial small subunit ribosomal RNA", at positions 28 to 507 of the family's 1533-position model. The record is from RNAcentral.